GUCAGCCGGUGGGCGGGCGUCGGGCUGGCAUUGGCAACAGGCCAGCCUGAGGAACCCUCUCCAUGUGCCGUGGCCCCACGGCCGCUGCGAAGCGGCUCGGCGGAAGCCGAGGCUCCGGCUCAGAAACGAACCUCUCCUAUCCUGUGACGAUGAUAUUGGUGUAUAAAACCAUUGAGGAGGAUAGGAGAUUGGUUGAAACGGCCGUCCCGUGGGUUAGGGCCAAGUAGGGGCUUAUGAGGGGUCACGCUGAAGCCCGGGUAGGCCCCUAGACGGAUCCCGCCUAAAACAGAAGGAGGGGUACUACCGGCUGAC
Molecule: RNase P RNA, 312 nt
Filed under: Thermoprotei archaeon
Lineage: Archaea; Thermoproteati; Thermoproteota; Thermoprotei
Description: RNase P RNA component
Rfam family: Archaeal RNase P
About the family: Ribonuclease P (RNase P) is a ubiquitous endoribonuclease, found in archaea, bacteria and eukarya as well as chloroplasts and mitochondria. Its best characterised activity is the generation of mature 5'-ends of tRNAs by cleaving the 5'-leader elements of precursor-tRNAs. Cellular RNase Ps are ribonucleoproteins.
Source: RNAcentral